UAACCUGGUGAACCAAAACAUUGUAGUAACCAGAGGAAAGGAAAUCAAACGAGACUCCAUAAGUAGCGGCGAGCGAACGUGGACC
Molecule: ribosomal RNA, 85 nt
Filed under: Pectobacterium polaris
Lineage: Bacteria; Pseudomonadati; Pseudomonadota; Gammaproteobacteria; Enterobacterales; Pectobacteriaceae
Description: partial 23S ribosomal RNA
Rfam family: Bacterial large subunit ribosomal RNA
Source: RNAcentral